RNAcentral lists this ribosomal RNA (433 nucleotides) under uncultured bacterium. RNAcentral describes it as "partial 16S ribosomal RNA". It matches the Rfam family "Bacterial small subunit ribosomal RNA", at positions 29 to 507 of the family's 1533-position model. The record is from RNAcentral.
AACGAACGCUGGCGGCAGGCCUAACACAUGCAAGUCGAGCGGACCCUUCGGGGUUAGCGGCGGACGGGUGAGUAACGCGUGGGAAUAUGCCCUUCUCUACGGAAUAGUCCUGGGAAACUGGGGGUAAUACCGUAUACGCCCUUUGGGGGAAAGAUUUAUCGGGGAAGGAUUAGCCCGCGUUGGAUUAGGUAGUUGGUGGGGUAAUGGCCUACCAAGCCGACGAUCCAUAGCUGGUUUGAGAGGAUGAUCAGCCACACUGGGACUGGGACACGGCCCAGACUCCCACGGGAGGGAGGAAUGGGGAACUCUAGACCAUGGGGGGAACCCUUAUCUUGCCCUGCCGCGUGAGGUAUGAAGGCCCUAGGGUUGUAAAGCUCUUUCAGCUGGGAAGAUAAUGACGGUACCAGCAGAAGAAGCCCCGGCUAACUCCGUG